AUAUUUAUUUAGGAAGGUGGUUUUCCCAGGGCAAGCUCACCCAUUGCACUGCGGGUGUGCUGAACCCUGCGAUUUCCCCAAAUGCAGGAAACUCGACUGCAUAAUUUGUGCUAGUGGGGAACUGCCUUCGCACUCUUCCGGG
RNAcentral lists this small nuclear RNA (142 nucleotides) under Echinops telfairi (small Madagascar hedgehog). RNAcentral's name for it is "U1 spliceosomal RNA (ENSETEG00000023338.1)". It matches the Rfam family "U1 spliceosomal RNA", at positions 20 to 166 of the family's 166-position model. Rfam says of the family: U1 is a small nuclear RNA (snRNA) component of the spliceosome (involved in pre-mRNA splicing). Its 5' end forms complementary base pairs with the 5' splice junction, thus defining the 5' donor site of an intron. The record is from RNAcentral. Lineage: Eukaryota; Metazoa; Chordata; Mammalia; Afrosoricida; Tenrecidae.